This 523-nucleotide ribosomal RNA is filed under the name uncultured bacterium. RNAcentral describes it as "partial 16S ribosomal RNA". It matches the Rfam family "Bacterial small subunit ribosomal RNA", at positions 28 to 523 of the family's 1533-position model. The record is from RNAcentral.
GACGAACGCUGGCGGCGUGCCUAAUACAUGCAAGUCGAGCGCAGGAAGCUGACGGAACUCUUCGGAGAGAAGGCAGUGGAUGAGCGGCGGACGGGUGAGUAACACGUAAGGAACCUGCCUCAAGGAUUGGGAUAACUCCGAGAAAUCGGAGCUAAUACCGGAUAGUUCAACGGACCGCAUGGUCCGCUGAUGAAAGGCGCUUCGGCGUCACCUUGAGAUGGCCUUGCGGUGCAUUAGCUAGUUGGUGGGGUAACGGCCCACCAAGGCGACGAUGCAUAGCCGACCUGAGAGGGUGAUCGGCCACACUGGGACUGAGACACGGCCCAGACUCCUACGGGAGGCAGCAGUAGGGAAUCUUCCACAAUGGACGAAAGUCUGAUGGAGCAACGCCGCGUGAGUGAUGUAGGUUUUCGGAUCGUAAAACUCUGUUGUAAGGGAAGAACACGUACGAGAGGGAAUGCUCGUACCUUGACGGUACCUUACGAGAAAGCCACGGCUAACUACGUGCCAGCCGCCGCCGUAA